GGCGGUCGCUUGCGACCGCCGAUGGCGACCGGCGAAUGGGUGAGUAACGCGUAUCCAACCUGCCCCGCGCCCGGGGAUAGCCCUUGGAAAUGAGGAUUAAGACCCGAUAUGUGCCCUGGCCGCAUGGCCGGGACAUGAAGCAGACGCGGGAUGGGGAUGCGUUGGAUUAGCCAGCCGGCAGGGCAGCGGCCUACCGGGGCGACGAUCCAUAGGGGUUCUGAGAGGAAGGUCCCCCACACUGGCACUGAGACACGGGCCAGACUCCUACGGGAGGCAGCAGUGAGGAAUAUUGGUCAAUGGGCGAGAGCCUGAACCAGCCAAGUAGCGUGCAGGAUGACGGCCCUACGGGUUGUAAACUGCUUUUGCGGGAGAAUAACCGGCGCCACGCGUGGCGCCCUGCAGGUAUCCCGUGAAUAAGGACCGGCUAAUUCCGUGCCAGCAGCCGCGGUAAUACGGAAGGUCCGGGCGUUAUCCGGAUUUAUUGGGUUUAAAGGGAGCGCAGGCGGAGGAUCAAGCCAGCCGUGAAAUGGCGGCGCUCAACGCCGUCCGGCGGUUGGAACUGGUCCCCUUGAUUGCGGGAGAGGAAGGCGGAACUCGUGGUGUAGCGGUGAAAUGCAUAGAUAUCACGAAGAACCCCGAUUGCGAAGGCAGCCUUCCGGCCCGUAAAUGACGCUCAUGCUCGAAGGCGCGGGUAUCAAACAGGAUUAGAUACCCUGGUAGUCCGCGCGGUAAACGAUGAAUGCUCGGGAUUCGGGCUUUAUGUCUGAGUCCCCCAGCGAAAGCGUUAAGCAUUCCACCUGGGGAGUACGCCGGCAACGGUGAAACUCAAAGGAAUUGACGGGGGCCCGCACAAGCGGAGGAACAUGUGGUUUAAUUCGAUGAUACGCGAGGAACCUUACCCGGGCUUGAAAUGUGCCUGGCGGCCAGCAGAGACGCUGGCCUCCUUCGGGCAGGCAUGUAGGUGCUGCAUGGUUGUCGUCAGCUCG
RNAcentral lists this ribosomal RNA (986 nucleotides) under gut metagenome. RNAcentral's name for it is "bacterial SSU rRNA". It matches the Rfam family "Bacterial small subunit ribosomal RNA", at positions 71 to 1062 of the family's 1533-position model. The record is from RNAcentral.